UGCACUACUUUCUUAUUUCUAUAAUUAAUGA
RNAcentral lists this non-coding RNA (31 nucleotides) under Rattus norvegicus (Norway rat). The record is from RNAcentral. Lineage: Eukaryota; Metazoa; Chordata; Mammalia; Rodentia; Muridae.